CCUGCGAAAGCAGGCUCCCGCAAGGGCCGAUGUCGAGGUGCUGCAUGGCUGUCGUCAGCUCGUGUCGUGAGAUGUUGGGUUAAGUCCCGCAACGAGCGCAACCCUUGUCCGCUGUUGCCAUCACGUUAUGGUGGGCACUCUGCGGAGACUGCCGGUGAUAAACCGGAGGAAGGUGGGGAUGACGUCAAGUCAGCAUGGCCUUUAUGUCUGGGGCUACACACGUGCUACAAUGGCCGGUACAAACCGUCGCGAUGCCGUAAGGUGGAGCUAAUCGGAGAAAGCCGGUCUCAGUUCGGAUUGCAGGCUGCAACUCGCCUGCAUGAAGUUGGAAUCGCUAGUAAUCGCGGAUCAGCACGCCGCGGUGAAUACGUUCCCGGGCCUUGUACACACCGCCCGUCACAUCACGAAAGCUGGCUGUACUAGAAGUCACCACGCUAACCCGCAAGGGAGGCAAGUGCCUAAGGUAUGGUCAGUGAUUGGGGUGAAGUCGUAACAAGGUAGGCGUAGAUGA
Molecule: ribosomal RNA, 511 nt
Filed under: uncultured bacterium
Lineage: Bacteria
Description: bacterial SSU rRNA
Rfam family: Bacterial small subunit ribosomal RNA
Source: RNAcentral